AUGAUCUGAAGAUAUUUCUUAAAAUUCUGUUAUGGAAGAUUGAAGCACCGGUGUAGUUUGAUUUGUGUUGCAGAAUUUGUUAUUUUGUGGACCAUAAAUUCUAGGCAGAAUGUUAUGGUGAUAAAAUUUGCUCAUUUAUUAUGGUGUGCCUAAACAUAGAUAUGAGUCCUUACUUUGAUCAAGUUGUUGCGAUGUUACGUCUCAGGCAUGAAUGUAAGUCAAAGUAUAUUACUAAAGUCACUGAGAAGCUUACUGAACUUCAAAGGUCUCAAAUUCAGAAAACACCAUUUAAAUGAAGGUGUCGCGAGGAGGACGUCUCCAUGGAUGAGAUUGAAAGGGUUAUUGAAAGGGAGGUGGCAAAUGUAUCAGAUGAUGAAGCACAUCAUGCAUCAAAUUUGUUGACUAGAAUUAAGGACAAGCCAAGAAAUCGUGUAAAAAGU
Medicago truncatula (barrel medic) is the source of this 440-nucleotide long non-coding RNA. RefSeq lists it as uncharacterized. The record is from RefSeq and is a predicted model, not a curated record. The transcript has 2 exons. NCBI's taxonomy places the organism in Eukaryota, Viridiplantae, Streptophyta, Magnoliopsida, Fabales, Fabaceae.